RNAcentral lists this ribosomal RNA (920 nucleotides) under uncultured fungus. RNAcentral's name for it is "eukaryotic LSU rRNA". The stretch from base 285 to 920 matches the Rfam family "Eukaryotic large subunit ribosomal RNA", at positions 1 to 664 of the family's 3401-position model. The record is from RNAcentral. Lineage: Eukaryota; Fungi.
AUCGAUGAAGAACGCAGCGAAAUGCGAUAAGUAAUGUGAAUUGCAGAAUUCAGUGAAUCAUCGAAUCUUUGAACGCACAUUGCGCCCGCCAGUAUUCUGGCGGGCAUGCCUGUCUGAGCGUCAUUUCAACCCUCAAGCAACUUCUGCUUGGUGUUGGGGAUCGGCCGUCAAACGCCGCCCCCGAAAUCUAUUGGCGAUCUCGCUGUAGCUUCCUAUGCGUAGUAGUAACAUCUCGCAUCUGGAGAGCGGCGCGGUCAUGCCGUAAAACACCCAACUUUUCAGGUUGACCUCAGAUCAGGUAGGAAUACCCGCUGAACUUAAGCAUAUCAAUAAGCGGAGGAAAAGAAACCAACAGGGAUUGCCCCAGUAACGGCGAGUGAAGCGGCAACAGCUCAAAUUUGAAAUCUGGCCCUAGGCCCGAGUUGUAAUUUGUAGAGGAUGUUUCUGACGAGGUACCUUCCGAGUUCCCUGGAACGGGACGCCAUAGAGGGUGAGAGCCCCGUACGGUUGGUCGCCAAGUCUCUGUGAAACUCCUUCGACGAGUCGAGUAGUUUGGGAAUGCUGCUCUAAAUGGGAGGUAUACGUCUUCUAAAGCUAAAUAUAGGCCAGAGACCGAUAGCGCACAAGUAGAGUGAUCGAAAGAUGAAAAGCACUUUGAAAAGAGGGUUAAAUAGUACGUGAAAUUGUUGAAAGGGAAGCGCAUAUGACCAGACUUGGCCAGGUUAAUCAUCCAUCGUUCUCGGUGGUGCACUUUGCCUGGCCAGGCCAGCAUCAGUUCGCUUUGGGGGAUAAAGACUUUGGGAAUGUGGCUCCCUCGGGAGUGUUAUAGCCCAUUGUGUAAUACCCUGGAGUGGACUGAGGUUCGCGCAUCUGCAAGGAUGCUGGCGUAAUGGUCAUCUGCGACCCGUCUUGAAACACGG